CCAAAAUCAAACCCUCAAGACAAUGAAAAGAUGCUGCGAUGUGCUUUUUGAGAGCUAAACUCCUACCCAGCUUCACCUUGCAAAACCCGGACUCUACAGGGACACACACACAAACACCCCCCGGUUUUCAACCAGAGAUGCGAGCGCGCAGCAAAAGCGUUUKCACUGCUUUCACGGCCGUCUGGUGUCUGUCGGUCUGCUUUUCUCCUGCUGUCCAGGUUGCAGCAAAGCGCCUGGUGACCGCUGGCGUCUCCUUUCACUGCCGUGCAAGCUGCAAACAGGUAUUAACCCCUUGUUCGCUUUACUGA
RNAcentral lists this long non-coding RNA (308 nucleotides) under Dromaius novaehollandiae (emu). Its description in RNAcentral is "lncRNA (ENSDNVG00000007927.1)". Lineage: Eukaryota; Metazoa; Chordata; Aves; Casuariiformes; Dromaiidae. The record is from RNAcentral.